Molecule: ribosomal RNA, 492 nt
Filed under: uncultured bacterium
Lineage: Bacteria
Description: partial 16S ribosomal RNA
Rfam family: Bacterial small subunit ribosomal RNA
Source: RNAcentral
AGUGAACGCUGGCGGUAGGCCUAACACAUGCAAGUCGAACGGCAGCACAGUAAGAGCUUGCUCUUACGGGUGGCGAGUGGCGGACGGGUGAGGAAUACAUCGGAAUCUACUUUUUCGUGGGGGAUAACGUAGGGAAACUUACGCUAAUACCGCAUACGACCUACGGGUGAAAGCAGGGGAUCUUCGGACCUUGCGCGAUUGAAUGAGCCGAUGUCGGAUUAGCUAGUUGGCGGGGUAAAGGCCCAUCAAGGCGACGAUCCGUAGCUGGUCUGAGAGGAUGAUCAGCCACACUGGAACUGAGACACGGUCCAGACUCCUACGGGAGGCAGCAGUGGGGAAUAUUGAACAAUGGGCGCAAGCCUGAUCCAGCCAUACCGCGUGGGUGAAGAAGGCCUUCGGGUUGUAAAGCCCUUUUGUUGGGAAAGAAAAGCAGCAGGUUAAUACCCCGCUGUUCUGACGGUACCCAAAGAAUAAGCACCGGCUAACUUCGUG